GAAUGUUGGUAUUGGGGUUGCCUAUUUGAGCAAAGUCAAUGGGUUUGUCAGCCUGUUUAAGCAAACUGCACAUCAUGGGGUUAUCCCACCAGCUCAUAUGUAUAGAUUUUCACAUCAAAUUCCCUCAUAUAGAAUGACUGGCAAGGAGAGGGAAGAGGUUCCUGUUGGAUCUUUUGAGCUUGAUCCCGCUUCUCUGCCUACCUGUCUCAACAAGCUUGAAGAUUUUCAAGGCAAAGGCCAGCAGCUUAGAAGAUCUUCAAAGCAAAGGCAAAAUGUUUUGUACAGUGAAAAGAUUACUGAUGGUGAUUCUUUUAGCUCCCCAAAGAGUUCAAAAGGGAGCAAACCAGACAGAUCCAGUGAAGAGGAGCUGCAAGAAGCAGGUGUGCGUGGUGGGCUAUCCAAAGAUGGCACAUCAACUGAAAGGGAGUUGAAACAGAAAGCCAGUUCUAUUGAAGAGAGCAUGCCAAAUAAGAAAAGCAAUACCAGUGAACAGAAAGCAGAACGAAAGGAAGCAGAUGUAUCAGAUUAUGAUGACGGGAGCACGCUGAAUUCAGAGAUCAUUGAGUAUCCUGAUCCAGAUUUCAGUGAUUUUGAUAAAGUUAGGGAAGAAAACUGUUUUGCUGUGAAUCAAACUUGGGCUAUUUAUGAUCCAUGUGAUGGCAUGCCAAGAUUCUACGCUCGGAUCAAGAAAGUUUUCUCACCCCAUUUUAGGUUACAGAUUACUUGGCUUGAGCCUAAUCCAGAUGAUGAAAGUGAGAAAGCCUGGCGUGAUGUUGAACUGCCUAUUGCUUGUGGUAAGUUCACCAAUGGGAAGAUUGAAGAAACUGAAGAUCGUCUAAUGUUUUCUCAUCAGAUAUGUUGGAUGAACGGUGGUGGUAGACGCUCUUUCCUGACAUAUCCUAAAGGGGGGGAAACUUGGGCCAUCUUUAGUGACUGGGAUAUUAAGUGGGGUCGUGACCCAGAAAAGCAUGGACCACCAUACCAGUAUGAAUUUGUGGAGGUGCUGACAGAUUUUGAUGAGAAUGUUGGUAUUGGGGUUGCCUAUUUGAGCAAAGUCAAUGGGUUUGUCAGCCUGUUUAAGCAAACUGCACAUCAUGGGGUUAUCCCACCAGCUCAUAUGUAUAGAUUUUCACAUCAAAUUCCCUCGUAUAGAAUGACUGGCAAGGAGAGGGAAGAUGUUCCUGUUGGAUCUUUUGAGUUUGAUCCCGCUUCUCUGCCUACGAGUCUCAACAAGCUUGAAGAAUUAUCAGAUUAGUGGCUGUUGGAAUCUCGAUCCCUUGGCGAUUCCUGGUGCUACUCCUGGUGGUACUAUUAUUUUAGAUUAAAUAGGAGCAGUAUGUUGUAUACCCGUCCUUUU
RNAcentral lists this long non-coding RNA (1357 nucleotides) under Citrus x clementina. RNAcentral's name for it is "Citrus clementina (C. clementina) long non-coding RNA (CCLE_LNC002945)". The record is from RNAcentral. Lineage: Eukaryota; Viridiplantae; Streptophyta; Magnoliopsida; Sapindales; Rutaceae.